UACGGAGGGGGCAAGCGUUGUUCGGAAUUAUUGGGCGUAAAGGGCGCGUAGGCGGCGAGGUAAGUCAGACGUGAAAUCCCUCGGCUUAACCGAGGAAUUGCGUCUGAUACUCCCUUGCUUGAGGCCGGGAGAGGAGAGUGGAAUUCCCAGUGUAGCGGUGAAAUGCGUAGAUAUUGGGAGGAACACCGGUGGCGAAGGCGGCUCUCUGGACCGGUUCUGACGCUGAGGCGCGAAAGCUAGGGGAGCAAACAGG
Molecule: ribosomal RNA, 253 nt
Filed under: uncultured bacterium
Lineage: Bacteria
Description: partial 16S ribosomal RNA
Rfam family: Bacterial small subunit ribosomal RNA
Source: RNAcentral